Long non-coding RNA from Limulus polyphemus (Atlantic horseshoe crab), 1430 nucleotides. RefSeq lists it as uncharacterized. The transcript is spliced from 2 exons. NCBI's taxonomy places the organism in Eukaryota, Metazoa, Arthropoda, Merostomata, Xiphosura, Limulidae. The record is from RefSeq and is a predicted model, not a curated record.
AGAAUCCUCAGCGUAGGCUGCACAACAGGUUGGACCGUUUUGAAUUUAUUGAAGAAGUGUAUGAAAAGUAUCUUGUAUGUCAUGAGAGUAAAACCUGAUGUGCUUCUUAGAAGAAAUCAUAUAAUACAAAGCCUGGACCAAAGCUGUGGAAGUAGUUGAAACUGGUGCACUGUACUAAACUCAUAUAAACUGAAACCAAAAAUCAAUAGUGAAAGGAAUGAGGCCAAAAAAAGGAAUAACACUGAAAAAUGAAUACCCUGCCAAAAAAGAAUAAAAUGUGUAAGAAUUUUGUUGAAAAGGUUUGCUUUGGAACAUCAUCAACUGAAAUGUUGGUGAGUUAGAAUAACACUGAAAGUAUUAUAGGUAGCAGAAGGUAUAUAAAUUAACAGUAAUCAAAGGAGGAACCUUAAAAAGAAUAAACCCAAGAGGAAUAAUCCUAUUAUGAACAAAAUGAAAAUGAAAUGCCUGAUAUAGAAAUGAGGAUUUUUUUUUUAUUGUCAAGUGAGUGCUCUUCAACUUAACUAAAGUUUUCUCCUAACUAUUAAGACAUUUUAACAACAGAAACUACAUGGCUACUACAUUCUAACUCAGUAUUUUUCUCAAUAGAUGCCAACUUGAUGACAGUCCACAAUACACUUCACAUUCCCUCUUAAUUACAUAACCUGUGUAGACCAUGUGUUAAUAAAACGUUUCUUCUUGCGUUAUUAGUGAUAUAAAAAUCGCAAGUAAAAUUGAUUUUCUAUAUAUUGCGGGGAAAUAAAUUGAUAGAUUUUAAUAUUUCUAGAAAGAUGGAAAACACUGGUUACCUUUUAUUGGCUAACCACGAGUUUCAUCAUCAUUAUUUAAUGAUGAAUAAUAGUACGACCGGAAGAACAACAAACAAUUGAUAUGUUUGUGGCGGUAACAAACAUUUAAUUCGUGAAUGUUACGGAAUAUACGUAUUCCAUUUCCAGUAAACUAUACUGAACAAGGUAAAAUAAGAUAUAUUGUACAUAACGAACCAUGUAAAAGUGCUCUAGCUAAGGGCCUAAAGUUUUGCUUUUCUCCCCUAAACUUAGAUUCUGUAAUUACUUGUUCCCCUUUGAAUGCACUUAUAAAUCUUUUAAAUCUCAUCCUAUUUUCAACAGAAAUUGUUCCCAGAACUUAGAGAGUUUUGCAAAAACCAGGUUCAAAAAUGUUGUUUUACAUAACGUCGAUUCCACUAUCACUCACGAAUAAUAUACUGUCUUAACUUAAAGGAAUUAGCUAAUGACAAAAAAUAUCGUUGUCGCCCUACUUAAUAAAGGUACAGGUGGUGUUAUCCACAAUAAACUGAAUUAUAUUAACAAAAUGCAAUAUGUUCUCAACAAUAAAACAAAAUUCAAAGAUUUUAAUGAUUGCAGUGGUGUAGUGCUAAAUAAAGAAGUGUCCGAACACGUUUUGAAGUGUUA